GCAUUUUGCAGCUGAUUUAAGAGCAAGAAAGGAACAAACCCGAUCUGAUGUCUUUACUGCAGAGAUCAAUCCACAUCCUUCCUAGGGCAGGAAGAGCAGGUGACUGGGACACCGGACGUUUGGCAAGCUGGUGGCCUUCCUGCUUUGGCAUGCUUUGCUGGGGUUUUCAUGAAAAGACAAUGACCUUUAUAAAAAACAAUGACCUUUGCAGAGAUCUUCAGACCCUGGCAACUCAGCAGUGAGCUCAGUUCCAAAACCAUUCCUAUUGCCUUUCCCAACAGAGUUGAACAAUUGGAAAGAAAGACUUUUAAAAAAAUUCACCGAAGUUUUUGGCAAAGCUUAGGAGCUCUCUCCCCCACCCUGUAAUUAAAGCAGAAGUAAAUAGUAAAAGGAUAUCAAAUUACAGCUCACAUUGGCAAUAGGUGCCCAGGUGGAGGAGCUGCUGCUUGUACAGACCUGUGCCUUGAGGCAGAAGGGCAGCCAUUCCGGGGAGCACUCCACUGGGUCCCCAGAUCUAACAUGUCAAGAUUAAGACCUGAGGAUUUGGAGGCUGAGAGGCAAGAAAGGAGGUCACGUCCUGCACACUACCUAGCACCUUUCCUGGAAGAGGUCUUACUAUGCAGCUCAAGCUGGCCUUGAACUCAAAUGUAGCCCAAGCUGGCCUCGAAUUUAAGGCAAUCCUCCUGCCUCAGCUUCCUGAGUGCUGGGCCCAUUUUCAUUCUUGUUGAUAUUAUUAAUAUUGGCUCAUGUUAUGACAUAUAAUGUUUGCAUUCAUUGAGAUAAUUGGGUGCCCAUACAUUGCAUAUCUUUAUUCUACUCAUUUUCCCUUCCUCUUCCCCUCACUCCUCACCCUGAGUCCCUUUGACCCCUUCCCACUUGCAAGAGAUCCAUCUCCCUGUCUCCUUCUAUCCAUUCUGUAUUAAUCUCUUUGUUUGUACUUUGCCUCACUCAAAUGAGAGAUAUCAUACAAUAUGUAAGCUUCUGUGUCUGGUUUAUUUCAUUCAACAUUAUAUUUAUCAGGUCCAUCCAUUUGUCUACAAAGGUCUCAAAUUUGUCCUUCUUUAUAGCCAAGUAGUAUUCCAUUAUGUAUAGAUACCUCAUCUUCUUUUUCAAUUGUCUGUGGAUGAGUGUCCAGGCUGCUUCCAGGAUUUAGCUAUCAUGAAUUGUGCUGCUAUAAACAUUAGUGUGCAUGUAUAGCUGUAGUAGGAUGUCUUAAGUUCUUUGGGGAAGAUACCUAGAAAGGGGAUAGCUAGGUAAUAUGAGAUAUCAAAUUUUAGUUCUCUGAGAAAUCUCUAUACUGAUUUUCAUAAUUUCAUAAUGGUUGUACUAGUUUACAUUCCCGCCAACAAUGUAGGAAGGCUCCUUUUACACCACAGCCUCACCAGCAUUUGUUACUUUUGGAUUUAUUGAUGAUUACCAUUCUUUCUGGAGUAAGAUGGAAACUUAGAGUUAUUUUUUUUAAAUUUGCAUUUCUCUAAUAGCCAGAGAUGUUGAACACUUUUUCAUAUGUUUGUUGGCCAUUUGUACUUCUUCCUCUGUGAAGUGUCUGUUCAUUUCACUUGCCCAAUUCUUGACCGAGUCUUUUAUUUUAAGUGGUCUAAUAGUUUUGAGUUCUUUAUAUACUGUAUUCUAGAUAUUAGUCCUUUGCCUGAGAAAUAGCUAGCAAAAUUUUUUUCCCAUUCUGUAGGUUGUCUCUUCACUCAACUAAUUAAUUCUUUUACAUUCUGUUGUGUAAAUAAAAUCCCCAUCCCAUAUUCAUUCUAGUUGUUUUCCCUCAGUCAAUUGGAUACAAUUUACAAAGUAACUAGCAGUUCCUUUAAUGGGACCCGAUUUCCUCCUUUCACUCAGUAAUAGAUAAGGCUUAGCUCAGUCUGGCUUACAGAGGUGCAUAGUAAAUGUUUGUUCCCUUUCCACCACUUUUGCCUAAACUGUUAGAGAGAUGUAAAGCAAUUUUACCUAAGAAGAAAUAGCUUUGUCUUAAACACUAUAUUAUUUAAUCAUUACUCAAAAAUACAUAUCACAAUAAAUGAUAUUAUAAAAUAUUCACUGAAAGUUUACCAUAUUCUAGGAAUUUUACUAAGUUUAUCACAUACUUUAUCUCACUCGAUUGUUCAGCAACUCUUUGUCAUAUAAUCAUACUCAUUUUAUAGGUGAGAAAUCUGAGCCUGGAGUAAAUUCUUGCUCAAAGUAGUAAGUGGCAAAUCUACAACAACUUGUUCUAAACUCUAUUUCCAGUGGUCAUGUCUUAAUCACAACAAAAUAUCCUUUUGCAAUGCAAUCCUUCCCUGUGAUAGCAUCUGCAGAGGAAGCAAAAUGUAUGUGGGAUAUCCCACCUGCCCUUGGGAGGCUCACGGGGUAACCCCAACACACACUCCAUAAACAGCUUCAUAAGAACACAUACCUGUGAUCAUUUUUGUAUCCAUGUGCCAAGUAUUCAAAGGAAGGAUCCUUGUCCUCAGUUAAAUGGAGUAAGAUUUGAGAUAGUACUCACAGAAUGCUUUCUUCCCUAGGGAGUAAAACCUUGAACCAGAAUUUCCCACUUUUGUCCCUGUUUUUUGGUGGCCUAGUAUAAGUGAUCAAAUUCUUAAUCACUUAGACUAUUGAAUUUUCUCAGAAUGUAAAUAUCUAAAUUUUGAGUCCAUGUGUAUGUGUUAAUUGUGUAAAUAAAUCACUGGUUUUUAAUGCCCUCCUUUGGGAGGUGGUGAGUGGAAGGGAAAAUCAAGCAGAGAAUAAGGACUCAAAAGAAAUUAUCUGUGGUGUGCCAUUUAUGAAAAUGCAUUUAUCAAAAUAUUUUUCAUUUGAAAAUUAGGGGCAAGUAUUGUCUGACUUAGCUGUUAAGGAAAUUCCUAUAAAUACCCAGAGAUAUAAAGUUGUGCUUGAAGGAACUACAGAAAAGCAACACGCUAUUUUAAUUCAUUGUUUAAUAUAGGCAGACUCUAACUUGUUCUAAAAAUGAAUUUUGUACUUUGACAGUUUUUUGAUUCAUGUAGCAUACACAAACAAAGUGACAUUGAAAAGUACAGAAUCUUAAAGAACUGCAUCCUUUGGGUUUUUCCAGACUAAACAAAAGUUGCAAGUAUGGCCAGAUAAAAAGAAUUUUGUAAGCCUCCCUGUCCCACACUAUACCUUCCUAUCAGAAGACCAAAUUUGAAAUAAAUAGUAUGCAAGAAUGUUGGAUCAAGAGCUUUGCAGUAUUUCUAUUCAUGUUACACCUCUUGGCUUUGGACAGAGUGCAAGAAUUUAACCAUGCUGUGGCAUAGGUUUGUUGGAAUUCAGGCAGUGUUUCCUCUAGAUUGCAAUAGAUUCUUUCCAUGAAAAAUAUUUUUCUAGGCAAGUAGUUCCAUACUUUAUUAGCUUCAAGGACCUACAAAGUCAAAUGGAGAUAAACUUUAGUUGGGAGAAAAUAAAUAGGAAUUUCUAGAAGACACAGACCACAGCCAGUUGGGGAAAUAUCAUUUGGCACCACUGUUGGGAACCUGCUAUCAAAGCAAUGUUGGUGUGCUGUGAACCAAACCCUCUCUAGCCUUUCCUUACCACUCACAGUCAUUAUCUAACAACAAGCCAGCCCACCAUUGGGAAGGCAUAUUAUAAACACAUAAAUAUCUGAGGCUACUAAGUCUUUUUCACUUUCUUUUCAGUACUGAGCUAUCAGAGUCACCAAGCUCUUUUCACUACUUUCUCUUUAAGCCACACAAAGCAUAGAUGAAGAGAUUUUUGUUUCAGAAGUCUGACUGUACUGAAGUCACUGCUGUUUUCUUGUGUAGGCCUGGAAACAUGGUAUACACUCUGAGUGGGAGCAGGGCUCCUGUCCUUACUCUGGAGGCUGGUUCCCUGAAGCUGGCCUUCAACUCCCCAGAAGUAGAUUGUGUAGGACAUGCUUUCAAAGUUUCUACAUCCAGACUUCUCAGCAAUGCCUCUUCUGAUUCGGAACUUGACUGGGCCACCAAAGUUCUGAGUUUAAAACAAGCAGGCUGAAUAGGGAAUACUUGUAGAGAUAUUAUUUCUUUGGCUGGUUUCCUUCUGUCCACCUUCCUUGUUCCUAUAUUAUUUCUUCUAUUUUCUCCUUCUUCUCUGUCUUUUCCAUCUUAUUCUAUUCUGUUCCUUCUCUAG
Heterocephalus glaber (naked mole-rat) is the source of this 4110-nucleotide long non-coding RNA. The record is from Ensembl. NCBI's taxonomy places the organism in Eukaryota, Metazoa, Chordata, Mammalia, Rodentia, Bathyergidae.